RNAcentral lists this unclassified non-coding RNA (170 nucleotides) under uncultured Hyaloscyphaceae. RNAcentral describes it as "sequence contains ITS1". The record is from RNAcentral. Lineage: Eukaryota; Fungi; Ascomycota; Leotiomycetes; Helotiales.
GAAUGAGAUCGGUGGGCGAAAGCCUGCCAACCUCCACCCUUGUGUAUCAUUCACUUGUUGCUUUGGUGGGCCGCGAGCCUAACGGCGAGCACCGGCUUCGGCUGGGGAGUGCCUGCCAGAGGACCCUAAAACCUGAAUGUUAGUGUCGUCUGAGUACUAUACAAUAGUUA